UGUGGCGCUCAAAACAGUAUGAACAGAACCCACUACCUCCAUUUUUUGUUGCCUGGAGGUUGGAUUAUUAUUACCACAAAUCACUAUUUGAAACGUCACUGUCAAAAUUGAACCAUUUUGUGCAUUUGCAGUGUUGUCCCUAUUCGAGGAGAGACGACCAUCGGGACUUAUGAUGAUACCAGAGGGCAAAAUGGGAACUUUCGUUGCAUCACCUCCAUUGACAAUUGAAUUGGUUGCUCGUAAAUCUAUGGGUGCAUAGACUAAAGAUGCUCCCAUUUCAUCAAUACUCGUCUCUUCAAGCACUAACAUUUCCUUAUGCAUAUCAUAAGAAUGUUUAUGCAUUACAAUAAUUAAGAAAUGUUUGGGUAAAUACUAUAAAAGAAUAAGUGACGAUAAGUUAUGUUUCUAAACAAUAAAAAAUUCACAACUAAUCCUAUUUAAUAAUGAAUUAUAAAAGGAUUAUUAGUAAUCCUGUUACCUAUAUGACUAUAGGUCAUUUAACAACAGAUUUAUGAGGAAUUUCAUAGAAAAGUCUUGUUCUUAUUCGUAGUGAAAUAUAUUUAGCAUUAUCAGUUUACCUAAAAGAUAGUUAAAGAUAAUUAUUGGAUUACCCAAAAAGCCAAGUGAAAUUAUAAAUAUAGAAAUGAGACAAACAACAACUUGCUAUAAAUGGCUAAGCUAUGAUCAGUGUAUAUAAAUUAAACAUGAGAAUGUUAGUCUUUUGUGUGUGUGUAUUGUAAUUGUUAAUUGACUACGAGUCAAAAGUAAAAUUGGAUCGUAGAAAAUUCCUGUUGAUUCAAUAAUUAAAGAACAAAAACUCAAAAGGAAAAAAAAGAUAAAAGUUUUGAAAUUUUGGUAUUUUUGCAUGAGAAAAAAGAUAAAUCCAGUCAUACGUAAUAUCAUUUGAUUCUUGAAAAAUGUCAUUAUUACAUGAUAAUUUAGGCAGAAAUAGCUAAUUAUAAAUAAAUAAAUAUGACAAAUACCUGAAUAAUUGUAAUGUUGUUUCCUGGAAAAGUUCCUGUUAGUACUCGAUCUAAUUCAAUCACAUUAUUUCCACCGGUCAAAAUAUCCCACUAAAAAAAUCAAAUGAUAAACAAUAUCAUAAUUUAAUUGACAAAAAAUUAUUUUGUGGGAUGAGUAUAAUUAAAGAUCACGUAUUUCUAACAGUAUAUGUAUAAUCAAUGCCAAGACUUGGAAAACAUGUAGAUAAUAUAAUAUGUAGGGGCUUGAAAAAAUAAAAUCAACCGAUAAAUCGAAUCGAAAAAGUGCUAUUGGUUUAUUGCUAUUAGAAUAAUGGAUUUUAAUGAUGUUAUGGAUAUAUAUAUAUAUAUAUAUAUAUAUAUAUAUAUAUAUAUAUAUAUAUAUAUAUAUAUAAUUAUCGGGUUACUAGUUUGGUAUUUAUUUUUUAAAUAUUGGGUUAUGGGGUAAACCAUUAACUCAUCAAGACUAUAGUAAUUUACCACUUUACCAUACAUAAAUAUUAUAGAUUAAUUCUAAUACACUACUUAUUAUUUUUGUCCUUUAGCCUUCCAUUCACACUUCAUAGUGACUUUGAGUUCAUAAUUUCACAUUAUAUAAAACGUCUAAACCUAAAAUAAGAAUCUUAGUCCUCUUAAUUACUAUGUGUGUAACACUUGUAUAAUUUUUUUUGUUAGUUAUUAUUGUUUCUAUUUUAUCAGUAUUUAUACAAUUACAUUAUUAUUUUAUUGCAUCAAAUUAUUGGACAAAAUGUCAUAUAUUUUAAAAUCAUUCUUAUUGGUUAAACUGAAAAUUGAACUUUUAAGGACCAAAAUCGAUUAAAGAUAUCUUAUUGGUUUAAUUUUAGUUUAGCAUAUUUAAAAACAAAUAAACAUAACCUAUAAUAUAUCAAACGAACCGAGCUGACAUAUGCACACUCUAGUAACCAGGGAACAUAAUAUUAAAAAAUCAAUCAUAUUCUAGACUUUAACUAAUUGUUUUAAAAAAUCCUUAACACUGAAAUCAUUAUAUUUUAAUGUUAACAUUAUGAUAUUUAUUGAAAUAAUUGAGAGUUUUACAUAAAAAUCUAUACAUGAAUUGAAAAGUAAAUUUCUAUAUGCGUAUUUUUAGGGGUCAUUCGGUUAACAAGAUAUACAAGGAUUGAUAAUGUAAAAAUUACUUCUUUUCUUAGAUGUUUGGGUCAUUGCAAUGGCAAUAAAGCCUUUUGGUUGGAUAGUUUCUUCAUUUUUUACUAUUGAAAUCCUAUCUCCACGGUUUAACUGUGGUGAGAUUGAAAAAUCUCCAUGGUUGUCUGUCAUGCUAAGAAUUUCAAAAAACUUCUUAACCAUCCUUUGAGAUACUUGUAUCGUAUUUUUUAUCUCUUCUGGAUCAUGAAACACUGGAAGUAAAAUGAAAUUUAAACAUUACAAUAACAUAUAUAUCUAGUAUAAUUCCACAAGUGACAUCUGCAAAGGGUGGUCAUAUCUUGAGAAGGUAGAGGGAAUGUUUUUGAUAGAUCCUCAUUCAAGUAAAGUAUAUCCAAAUUCAGUUAUGAAAAACAAAUACAUAAGGAUAUAAAGGAGACAACAUGUAAUACUAAAGCAGAAAUAAAAUAUUAGGAAAGUAAUUAAAAAAAUAUUGAUAAAGAAACAAGAUAAGUGUGUCUUUACUUUUUUGGAAAAUAAUUUUUUUAGGAAAUCUAUUUUUAUUUUCAUAUUUUAUUUUGAAAUUACUAAAUAUAUUUUCUAAAAAAAAAUUCUAUUGAAGAUAGAUAAAAUAAAUAUUAACAUAUUGGAAAGUAUUUUGAUAAUAUUUAUACAUGUUAAAGAUAAUAAUAAUAUUUGGGUGUCGUUAAAGCACUGAUAUAAUACUCAAAGUUGAGAUGAUUGUAAAGAAAAAUGACUUUAAACGGAAAAUGAGAGAACUGGUCAUUUUUCCUGUUCUUUUGAUUGGAAUUUAUUUUCUCUAUAAAUUAUUUUCUUGGCAAAAAAAAUAAACAAUUUUUUAAUUGCUUAAAUCAUACCAAACACACCCCUUAAGGAAAUACGAAAAGUUUGAAAAGGAGAUGUUUCAAAUUAAAAAUAUGAGAAAAUUGUUAAUAAAAAAGACUUUCGAUAUUAAAAGAGUGAUCAUUUUCCGAGCCCAUUAGAAAAAAAAAUUCAUUGGUCGAACGUGGUUAAAAUACGUAUGAUAUAUAUACCUCAAAGAUUAAAAAAAUUUAAAAGGUCAUAUUUGAAACAUAUAAACAAAGAAAAGAGAUGGAUCUGGAACCCUUCAAGAUUUUUAAGUUUUUAAGUAAAGCUGCCUUGAAUUGAUGAAAAAAUUACAAUUGAUUCUUUUAUCAACUUAUAAAUUAAAAUUCAAAAAAGUAGUAAAUAAAUAAAGGGAAUAUAAAAUCAAACCUCCUUUGGAAUCAUGCCUGUUAGGGUAUGUUGAACCCAUUUGAAAAUUAAUUCUCUCACACAUCCUUUGAAGUAUAACAAUCCAUCUUUUAGCUCCGUAUGCUUCACGAUCACACAACAAAUCUCUAAAGAUAUGAUUAACCUGAUAUUUUUCAUAUACUUGAACAUGUUCCACCCAAGUAACCUGCAAAAGUAAAAAUAAUAAAGAAACAAGAAUAAAAAUAAUUAACUUAAUUGGAAAAUAAUGAGGAAAACGUGUUUGAAAUUUUUAUUUUUUAGCAAAGGAUGUCAUAAGGCAAGAAUUGAAAAGGACCAUAUGAGGAGAAAGAAUAAUCCUCGCUCUUUUGAUUCAAACAUCUGCGACAUGAACAACAGUGUAUAGGCCGGAGUUCAACAUAAAAAUGAAGACUAACAACUCUAAUAGCAUGUUAAAAAUAUAGUUAUUGAAUCUAACUCAAUCCUAAAAUAAAACUUAUCAGGUUGUGGAGGAUUUUCCAAGGUUUUUCACAAAUGGAAAGAUUAUUUUCUAAAACAAUAUGGGGACACUUAAGUAGCCCCCCAUGCAAGUCCGAAAGCUGAUCAUUUGGAGAAUAAAUUAACAACAUAAUAUGACAACCCAAAAUUAGAUAAAUCGAGAAUUAAGAUAGUUUGACUCUUAUAUAAUAUUAGAAACAAUAGACAUCAUGAAAUAGGCAUAUAUACGAGUAAAUUUGUACCUAUUUAAUAUAUCAUUUGAAAAAUAAGCUACAUAUAAAUGGUGAUAUGUAUGUUACCCAUUUGACUUGUAGAAUAAGACUUGAAUACAAAAUAACUGUGAAAUAUAGUUAGAAAGAAAGACUCUCUAUGGAUCCAAUGGGUGCAUACUUAUUUCAUAAAGAAUAGGGGGGUCGAAACUGUCAGUUUACCUACUACUGCUUUAUUGGUAGUGCAAAAGACUUUGAGUACAAUAGAUUUGAUAAUCCCAAGGCAAGAUGGGCAGAGUGAGUUGAUGAUGGACUUUGAAAGGCACAAAAAUGUGGGAUGUUUUCUACCAAUAGGAUGAAUAACUAUAUCAUGCCUACUUUUACAAGAUUAGAAUGGAAUAGUAUUACUUUGCAACGAGGAGUACAUCAAAGAUUCGAAUUUAUUUUGUGUCUAGUUGUGCAGAAAGCAUUAGCAAUUGUUGAAAGACUUGAAAAGUUUGGUAUUCAGGUGUCAAUUGAAUAUGUGUUCUGUAGUAACAGAAAGGAAACCUUUGAACCUAUUUGUUUUGAUUGACAAGUGACAAAGACAUUAUGAGAAAGAAUGUGCAUCUGGAUAGAAAUACCAAAGAAGUUUUCAUGAAUGAAUCAAGACUAGUGUUAUUGUGAGGCUUGAAUAUAUCAUUUAGAGAGAAAGAAACAAGAUUAGCUUCUAUUGAGUAAGAGUAUAUGCUGAUACGGUCUUUACAGAGAUUGUACUGCAUAUUCAUCUAAGAGGACAACACAAGGCAAGAUGGAAAUCUUUUCUACAAACACUAUAUAAGUAUCCUUAGAGUAGCAUUUCCUUUGUAAUAGAUUAGUUUAAUGGUUUCUUUUAUGUAUGAGUAGGAAGUUAGAUGGUUAGAAGAGAAGUUGUUACGUGUGUUUCUAUGUAAUGAUUUGUUAGUACAUGAAAAUCCUUGGGAUAAAAAACUAAAAUAAAUUUCAAGAACAAAUGCAUGAUAACACUACAUACAAUUGACCACAGUAAUAUGGACCAUGUGUAUAGCGGGAGCUUAAUGCACAUAAUUUUCCUAUUAUAAAAUAUUGAUAUAGAAAGAGGAUAUGAUUCUUACCUUACUUUGGCCAUUGCCCAUAUCCUUAAUCGCACAACCAGAUGGAAACUUCCAAGAAUAAGAUGGUACACCACUCUGAAUGUCGUUGAAUAUAUCAUAUGAAAUAUCCACCAAGAUCCAUGUUGUUGCAUCAAGUUGUCUACAACCACGUAUGAAGAAAAAUUCUCUAGCUCCAACUAGAGGAGAUAAAAUAUGCAACUUUUCAUACAUCUGAAUUCAAGAAACAAAAAAAAUGAUCAUUUUAUGAGUCAAUUUCAAUACUGAUUUAAUUUCUAGGGGAAAAAUCUAAAAGAUGUAUUAAUAUUUUACCAAUUGCAUAGAGCCUCCCCAAGUACAGAAUCAAGAACUUCAAUAGUCUUAGCUUUUGUGACUAUAGUAGGAAACAAGUUCAUCCAUUUGACCUACAUAUAAAAAACAAUUACUUUUAAGCAUAUUAUUAAUUCUUAAAAAACAAGUAUGACAACUAUGUCUAAAAAUAAGUACUGAUUGUCCAUGUCCAUAACUCCAUAUAAACUCAUCUUAAUGAAUAUUGUAUGGGAGAAAAUUAAAAAGUGAAAUUGAAUCAACCUAAUAAGAAAUAGAUUUUUUUUUUUUAUUCAUGACCUAGAGUUAGAUUUCAAAAUAUCAUGACAGUUUCUUAUAUCUCUUACUUGCUCAAGUUCAAAAUCCAUGAUAUUGGCAUGGUAUGUUUCCACAUGAGAAGUGGUAAGUUUCCAACGAAUUCUCACAUAAUGGAUACUUUUCAAAAAUCAACUAGCGCUCCCAAUCUUUAAUAUACAACGCAUAUAUAUAUAUAUAUAUAUAUAUAUAUAUAUAUAUAUAUAUAUAUAUAUAUAUAUAUAUAUAUAUAUAUAUAUAUAUAUGUAAAACAUGAAAGUGUUCAUGAAACUUAUUGGAUCAAGAAAAUUAUGGAUCAAUUCAACUGCAGUCAUUGACACAAUUCCACAAUCCUUUGAUAAUUCAAUUCGACCAGUUGAUGUUUGGGGAGGUAGAACUUGAUUUGAAAAUUUUCUUCCAUGAAUCUCACGAUGAAUAAAACACCGCCUAUCACUUGAUGAAUCUACCCAAGAUGGAUCAUUGAUCUUCCAAAGUUCAACCAUUUCAUUCAUAGAAGCAACAAUAGUCUCAAACAUAAUUGUUUGCUGCCUACUAUCAUGAUUACAUUCAUCAUGUUCUUGUGGUUAUUGAGAAAUCAUUGAAUGUGCAUGAACAUUAUUACUAUUUUGAUUGUUUUCUUGACGAAGAGGAGGAUAUCUAAUGGGAGAGCCACAUGUAUCUUGGUUCAACAAACAUCCAUCAGAUGAAUUUGAAUGUGAUCCAAGAGUCGAUAUUUGUGGUGCCAAAUUUGAAUCCAUCACAAAAGGUCUUCAAAAAACAUGUGAGAUGAGAUUUGAUACUUUUUCAUCCUGAAAAAAUAAAAUUUUAAGUUAAUUUACAUAAAUAAUAUGUACGUAUUUAAAUAAACAUAUUUGAGAAGUGUAUAAUUUGCUAUUAGUGUAUAUAAUUUAAAUUCUUUCAAUCAAUUAAUUGAUUGUGAGAUCAAAAUUAUCUCUCUUGUCAAGGGACGGUGCAACUCAUAUGCACGGGGCGGAAACAAAUCCAAGAUAUAAUUUAAAACAUUUAACACUAGUGUAAAUCUCAUUAAAAAGAGAAUCAUUUUGUUUAACAUACUAUCACAACCCUAACAAGGUUUGAGCUCAUCUAUCCCUAAGACCUUUUGUUAGGGAAAGAUGAAUCUUAUCCAUACUAUCACAACCCUUGGUAGUAGGAUUCCAAAGAUUAACUGUUGUAUUUAUAAAAUUAUCGAUCCAAAGAUAAUAUUAUUUGAUCUUACUCCUCCAUUUUUUAUUAUAAGAUAUGUUCUAAUACCUUAAAUUUUGGAUUAAUCCAUCAAGUUCAAACCAUGAAUUUGCCUCGUCUUUGUUAUAUAUAAGUAAUUCUUUUAAGAAUAAAUAGAAAUAUUAACAUAAAAAAUUAAAUAAAUAGGAUAAAAAGAAGGUUGAAUAACUUGUUAUGUCAACCGAAGGUUGAAUAACUUGUUAUGUCAACCAUUGAUUUUCUGUUUUCAUAUUUUCUAAAUUACUUUCUCUUUCUUCUUUUCCAAUAGGAAGUCCAUCACAUUUUGGACACAUAAUAUUCUUCAUUUCCUCUUUCAUUGCCUUAUAUUCACAAAGAAUUUUUUUUAAUUUUCGAAGAGCAUUGUUAAUGGAUGUCUCAAUUUUAGUCUGAUGAAAUAUAUAUAACAAAAAUUAAUCACGUAUCGAAUAACAAUACAAACAUAAUAUAACAUAUAGGUAACUAAAUAAUUGUUCAAAUAAUUAUUAUGUUAAAUUUUCACUCUUAACAAAUAAAGGAUCAAUAGUUCACAUUCCAAUAAAUUGAAGAUUUAGGUAUUGAGUAAGAUAUUACUUGUAUCAGAAUUAGAAUAUUAUAAUAAUUGAAGGACGAAAAAUGGUGCUUAGCCUUUUUAUAAUGCUUGAAAAAUAUUUUUUCCAUUCAUGUUUGCUUAAAAGUUCAAAAUUUCAUUCUAAUUUGAACCACAUACACAUUCUUCCUCGUAUAAGAAAUAUAUUUUAAAGAAUUUUUACAUUAGGUGAAAAAAUUAAUCCAUGAAAAUUUAGUUUACUCAACUUACCUAAAUUUAACUAGAAGUUCUGAACCACAUAUUAUCUGAAUCACUACUACUACCCAUAGCUCCCACAACUAAAAACUUCUCUAUGAUAUCAAGAGUACUGAUCAUAUUCAAGCUUUACCAUUUUAUCCUCGGUUUGUUACCUAGUAUCAUCUUCUUCCUCUCCCUUACAAUCAGAAAUCCAACAGAUGGAGUUAGUGUUAGGUCGUUAAAUUAUCACUCGGGAUAACCAACAGUCUUUAUGAAGAACAUUAUGUUCCUUCCUAAGAAGAAAAUAGUCUAUAUGAGUUUUAUCUACUGUGCUAUGGAAGGUGACCAAGUUCUCCCCCUCCUUGAAAAAACAUGAAUUGACUACCACCAACCCAAAAGCUAUUGAAAAAUUCAUAAGUGAGACUCCUCCUCAUUCUUGUCCCUGAAAUUGAAACCUCCAUACUAAUCACUACACACCAUUGGAGUAGACUCGAUGUGUCCAUUGAAAUAUCCUUCUAUGAAUAACUUCUUUGUAUUUGAAACACCUCCACCCACCUCGUCCAAAUCCUCCCAAAAAGUUUUCUAGUCCUCCUUGUCCAAGACAAUUUGGAGAGCGUAAGCACCAAUAAUGUUCAAACUGAAAUCUCCAAUUACUAACUUAAUCAUUAUCAUCCUAUCAUUGAUCCUCCUUACCUCAAUCACUUCCUCCUUAAGCUCACAAUCCGCUAGGAUGCCUACUUUAUUCCUAAUCGUUACACCUUUAGAGUAUCACAACUUAUACUUAUCCAUAUCACAUUCCUUCUAUCCUUCUCAUUUGGUUUCCUGGAUGCUAGUUAUCCUUCUCUUUUUGAGAAUCUUCACUAGCUCUAUGAAAUUUCCUAUCAAAGACCAUACUCUUAUUCUAGAUGUGAUAAAUAUAGUCAUGUUAAGGAAAUAACAUUAUUUGGUAAUUGAACAACUAACGAGAAAAAUUAUUUUUUGAUAGAAGUUGAAAAAUUGGGUUGUGGUCUAUUUUAAGCCCAACCCAACCCAAAUAAUUUAUUCAUCUGCUCAUUUAUAUAUACAAAUUAUUUUGACUAGCCUGAACUUCAUUCAAUUUAUCCAUUUAAUAUUUCAAGAUUUCCUUCAUUCAUCAAGUAAUGUUGAAAAGGAAAUCAUUAGUUUUGAGUGGCAAAACCAAAUUUUUCUGACUUUAAAUUCUCAAAACCUAGAAGGGAUUCAAUUUUUUGUCCAUUUUGUAAUUCCUUGCUAACUAUUGAACUUGCUAGGGAGUUCAUGCACUUUGAAUUAUUUAGAAUUCUUGUAUUAUUGAUUUUAUUAAGCAACAACUUAAUUGACUUAGAGGUUAGAUAAUGAAAAUAAUUUAAAUGAAAAGAAAUUUAUUUAAUAAAGUCUAUAUAUUAAUGAGAGAACAUACUUUCAAAUUUAUUGAUCAAUUCAACAUGAAAAAUCAAAUUAGUGAUUUAGGAAAACUAUAUAGAAAUUGAAAAGUGAAAUCAUCAAGAAUGGAAUUUAUUGUACGCGGCUCGGGGGGUUGGUGAUAGUGGUAGUAAAUAACUUGAUUAUAACGAGGAAUAAAUUAUCUUAUUUAUUCACACAUCCUAACAACUUAACCAAAUAUAGAGAAACAAUUUACCAAUAGAUCACUGCUUUCAUUAAAUUAUUUCAUCUUUUGUCAUUACUUUUUCUAGAUUUUUUAAAAUUUUAAUGAAAAAAAUAUUUUAAUUUGUUGUUGUGUGUAAACAACAACAAAAACAACAAUAAUAUCCAAUCAAUUACGUACAAUUGACAAUAUAUAAAGGAAUUAAAUAAUCAAAAGUACCUUUGCUUGAGCCCUUUUGUUUUGGAACCAAAGCUUGACCUGCUUAUGGUCAAGCCUGCUUCGCUACCCAAUUGUUUUUGUUGAUCCUCAUCUUGAUGAGGGCAUUUGUUGAAGAAUCUUCAUUCAAAAAUUCAUGAAGAGAAAAUAUUAUUGAUUAUUUAUUAAAAAAAUAAACCAAAAAAGAAAAUAAAAAAAAAUAUCAUAAAUACAUGGUGGAUUAACAAGUAUUUCUCCACCAUUAAUCAGUUCUUAAGUUCGAGCAUUGGAACUAAAACUUUAGUAAGGAACGUUUGACCAUAAAAUGGGACUUGAUUCCACACUUGAAUUUGAAUUUGUCGGGCCCUAGAUCAACUAACAGAUACUCACUAAAGAUUGAGGAGUAGUAAGUACUCUUUUAUUCUUAACUAGAAGCAAAUCUGAAUUAAGCAGAUCCUAAAGUGUGAUUUUUCAAUGUAAAUCUAGAUUACUCGGUCCCAAAAGAUAGAUUUUUUACGUGAUCUAGAUUAGUUGGGCCCUAAAAUGAAAUUUCUCGAAAUAAAGUUAAAUUAGUCAUACCUCAAAAGAGGUAUCUAACAUAAUGGGAAAUAGAUUAUUUGUGUUUUUGUUGCUAAAAUUAGAAAGACAUUGAACUUUAACGAACUCAUCUUAUUAUGUUAAAGUCAUAAAGAAUAAACAAGUUCAUUUAUAAUGAUGUAUAUAUAACAAAUUAAUCAUCAAAAUAAAAUAUUUCAAAACUAUUUUAGCAACUCAACAAAAGAAAACAGGGAAUGUGAAAUCAAAAAUACAAAUCUUUUAUUAAAUAUAGUGGAAAUGUGGGGAACAAAAAUCAAACCAAAAGAAAAAUCAAUCAAAAUAAAUAAAUAUCAAUUGAUUCACAAAAAAUACAUACAAAAAGGAAAUCAAAUAUUCUAUCACUAAAGAAAUUUAAUUUUACCACUGAUAAUUUAAUUUUACUACUGAUGCAGUUUAAGAAAAUAACAUAAUCUCUUUGAACACACAAAAAAAUUGAACAGAUUUAUCCAAAGGAUCAAAUUUUUUUUUAAAAAAGUUGAUCUUACGCAUCAAGUCUUUGAAUUUGUUCCAUAGAAUGGUUGUGGUAUUGUCCAUGCCUUUCCGAUCUUUUUUGCGAAUUUGAUGAUUCUCCAGCAGGUUCUUCCACAGAAUCUGUCAUAUUUUUGGAUAAUUUUCUGUUUGAUUCUAUGCAAUUAUUUUGCAUUCUCUAUUUUUUAAACAUAUUCAUUUAUUUCAUUAACAUAAUUUUGCUAGUAUUUUAAAAUUAAAUGAGGAUUAAGAGUAAGAUUAUAGAUUUAUGUUUUCCUAUUCUUUUCAAUCAUAUGCAUGAAUGUAAUUUUGAAAUUUAACAUAUAAAAAUAUAUAUAUUAAUUUUUUUUUGAGUCUAGAACUUAUGUUAUAUUUUUAGUUUCAUUUGUUUUAGUAGUAUUGAUUUGAAACUCCAUAUUGCAAGUUAUUUUUUUAAUAGACUUGAUAUAUUAUCUUUUUGUCACAUAUUUUAAAAUUUUAUAACAUAAUAUUAAUCUUUUUGUCUAACAUGCAUUUAAUUUUCAAAUUUAAUAUAACUUUAUGGUUGCAUUUGCACUUCCAAACAAUACAGUUGUAAUUAUAGUUUAAUUCCACUGUGGCAAAUAAGCAAGUCGAUGUCAUUACAAGGUUGUAUAAUGAUUAUGUUGAUAUUUACUAUCCUAAUAAUUACAUCAAUUCUUUCAAACAGACCAAAACCGUGAAGAGUGAAGAUAAGAUAGGAAUUUGAAUUUCUUUUGGUUUUCUCUCUUAAAAGAUUUGGUUUGAUAUAAGUAGAUAUGGUAAGUAAUUUAUAAAUUCUAUAUUUAAAUUUCAAGUUAAUUCCUUAUAUGGACAUUUGAGAACAAUUCUUUCCUUCAAAUCACAUAAUUAUUUUUCUAAUAGUAAAAUCACAAUUUUUAAAACAAUUUUUUAAAUAUUUAAUGUAAUAUCUAACAAAAUCAAUCAAAAGAGGAUCGACAAGACUUGUCCCCUAAAGAAUUAAGGAAAAAUGACAUGGAAUAUACCUCUCAAAUUCAAAAUUUAGAGUUGAUAUAUCAUUUGUUACAAAAGUGACUCGUAUAUAGUCCUAUUAUUACAUAAAUAGCUCAAAUAUAUCAUAUUUGUCUAAUGGGAGUGAAAAAAAUAAUUAAAUUUAUUUUAUUUUUUUGUUAUAUAAUUAAAAACUAGAAUCUAUGUAGGUAUAUUUGAUUUGAUCGCAAAGUUAAGAGGUACACUUGAUCUUUCUCAACUAUGAGUUUUUUUUUCUACGUUCUUUAAUUCAAUGAAUAUUUAAAUUUUACUAUCCUAACUAGGUAAUUUUUCGACGCUUCACGCGGUCAUAAAUAAUAAUUGCAUUGAACUUGCAAAUAAUUUUUUACUAAUAUCCAUACAUUAAAAAUAAUAGAAAAAUUGAUUCUUAAAAAAAUAUUAGCAAUAUUCCAACAUGAAUUUGAUUCUUUGUCAUUAUCACAGAAGUCAAGAACCUCUAUUGAAUGAAUUAUUCACGAUAUAAUAAAUAAUUGGUUCCUUAAUUAACAUUCAAAGAAAAAUAAAGAAGAAAAUAUGAAUAUAUAUACAAAGGCGUUUCGUAAUGAAAAGAAACAUUUAAGCUGUAGAGAUUAUACUAUUGUGAUAUAUGUCCAAACAGAAUUCAAAAUUUUGUUAACAUAUUCAAAAAAGAAAUUAUGCUUACACAUGAAAACAAGUAUAUAUUUUGAACAUGCAUGAAUUUCUUCAAUUGAUAAGUUAGAAAUUUCAUAUUUAUGUACGAAAAGAUAAUAUGUAAACUUAUAUAUAGUACUUUUAUAAUACUUAUUUUUUGUACAAUAAAUAUACGUACUGUAUAUGUAUAUAUUCAAUAUGACCGGAAAAAAUAACUUUGCAUAAACAUAAAAAAAAUUAAAAUAGGUACUCAAAAACAACAAUUAAUAUCAUAAACAUAAAUUAAAGAGUGAAAAAAACAUACCAGGAUAUGUAUAAAUAGAAUAAAAUAUAAAGAAAAAACUCGAGUCCACUGAAUACACAAUGUCACCUUAAGAAAACUAUUCCCCUCCAAUACAAGAGGUUCAAACAAUUAUAUCCUCUCAGGAUGAAAUAAUUUUAUUCACCAACUAGUGGUAUUAGUAAGUCAUUCAAAUGGACAAAAGUACAAAAUUAAUUUCGCAAGAAGUAGAAGAAAAAAGAUCAGAAAUUUUUGGUGUUUUAAAAUGAGAGGCAAUCUUUCUAUUUAUUGACAACAAAAUAUACUGUGAACAAAUGUUUAUUGUGCCUUAUCAAAAAGGUUACAACUAUUUGAAAAACUUUCAAUCCCUCGAAAAGUUAAAAACCUUUAAUAAAAGUCACAAACUUUUCAUAAAGUCACAAAUUUUCAUUAAAGUCACACCCUUUCAUAAAAGUCAGAACUUUUGAUACAAGUCGUAACUCUUCAUUAAAGUUGUAACUUUCCAUAAAAGUCACGUCUUUUCAUCAAAUAUGAAGGCUAGUUUUGAAAAUAAAUAAAUUUAAAAGAAAAUUUUUGCUUGUAGUGGCGCCACGUAGGCAGACCUAGGGUUCUCUUUUAUAGAAAUAUAUGGUAUGAUGAUGAUCAAAUUUAUUUAUACACUAAUUUUCUUAUAAAAUUUAUCAUAGACCCCCUCCCCCUCCCCCGCCCUUUAUUUUCCAAAUAAAAUAACUUACAAUGUAGCCUCAAAAGCAAAAUCUUGAAUUAUAUUGUUCUUUUUCCAUUCACGUUUCUUCAUUUAUAUUUCUCGUAUUUUCACACUAAAAAUUAAUGGGAAAAGGAUUGGAUAUAACCCUCAACUUUACCAUUAUAACUAAUAUAUACCUUCUUUCAAAAGUCACUCACAUAUACUCUUAGCAUUACACAAAUGACUCAGACAUGAAAAUUUUGUGAAUUUAAGGGAUACAUUGGAAUGGAGUGAUAAGUAAAAAGUAUAGCGAAAAAUUAAGUGUCAUCAAAAAUGAAAAGUAUAUAAAAAUAUAUGAAAGAUAUAUGAAGAGUAGAGAAUUUUGGGCUCAUUUUAGGCUUUUAGUAUACCAAAAGUAAUGUUCUCAAUGUCUAUUUACAACUUAUUCUGAUCAAAUGUAUUUGUAUUUCAAUUAUGAGACCGUAAACAUGGAUACAAAUGAGAUCAAAACCAGCAAAAAAACAUAAGGAAAUAUGCAAAGUCGACAGUAACUGUCACCUAAGUUGACUCGAUACAUCGCGGAAAAUUACAGUUCUUAACCCUCAAGUUCAUCUCAGUUUGGAAAUAUCAGGGAGAAGUCGGUGUAUCGUCAAUGUGAUUCGGCGAUGGUCAUUGGUGUCGUAAAAUGUAACAGGAAAAGAAAGAAAAAUUAAAGUUGGAAUGUCUGAGUGGCAGUGAACUCUACCAUUUAGCCUAUAACCUGACCUACUUGGCUGUCUCAGAUUAGUUAAGUGAAAUAACACUGAAAUGAUCCAUCUCGAUCAUUACGAAUAGGUCAAUUGUGAAAGAAUUUGGGUUGAAAGUUUACAGAUAGUGUCUCAAGAAUUUUAGGCUAGGUCAACCUCAGAAGAAAUAUGGACUAGGUGCACUCUAGGACCAUCUGAUAGUAAGUGGGGUUAAGUGCAUGGGCUUGGUGAAAGGUUUCUUGUAGCCAAGACAAUAAGGAACCCGUUGGGCUUCAAAAGUGAUUGUAGUUCUAUGCAUUGAUUUGUUUUAUUCUAAUGUAGUCAAUUGGUUACACUCAUAUCUUGGACCGAACGUAUAAUCCUACUAAUGGUUUGUAUUGGAAAAAUAUUAUUUUAUAUAUGUCAAAAAGAAUCAUUUUAUAUCCUAUUAUAUUUUGAAGAGAAUAUAUUUUUAUGUCCUAAAUAUUUUCCCUCCAUAAAUAGCCUUUGAUUGACCAUUACUCCUAAUCCAAAUAUACGUUUGUUUCCAUCUUAAUAAUCAUUCUUGAAUAAGUAAAUGAGGAGAAGAUAGUUUGUUUAACCAAAAUAAAUUGCUCAUUUUGCCACAAUGUUGUUGUUGGAAUAUGUGCAUCCACUACCAAUCAACGGACCAGGUCACUUGACACAACAAGAACAGUGCGGAAGAUUAAACAAUAUGAAGAACACAACACAAGCAGUUUAUGUGAAAACCUCCAGGCUCAAGGGAGUAAAACCACGACCUGUUGCACAGGAUUUGCAAUCCUCUUCACUAAUCUUCCCAAGCAAAAGUGAAACCCGGUAACAAUCAAUCUGAGAAAAAGUUAUUAAUCUCACGAUCAAGUAAUCUACCUAUUACUUGAAGAGCCUAAGCGGAUACAACACCGCCCACUGAACCACCUAACUCGAGAUGACUUAGAAUUUGACUAAGCAACAAACAAAUGUUGCCCACUAAAUCAGUUAACCUUAACUGAUUUAGACUUUUACAAGCCCAAAACAAAUAUUUGAAUCCUUUAUAGAUUAGGAAUAGAUUUACAAUGUAAGUACAUAGACACAAAGCUCUAAAUACAACAAAGAUUCUUUUUUACUCUAUCAAGUCCUUCUGUUAAGUUGAGCAAUGUUGUUCCUUGAAGAUGACCUUCUGUUCAAGCUUGUGAGUUUUCAGAGAAAAUCCAAGCUUAAUUUGCAAAGUCUUGAAUUUCUGUUUUUUGGAAAGAGAUAAUAUAAUUUCCUACAAAUUCAUUGAAGUCAUCCCAUUGGCUGAAGGCCUGCUGUUGGAAAAGUUGUCCACUAACCGCAUCACAGAUGACAACUUUUCUGAUAGUUGUCUUUUCGUCCUUUUCACGUUGCAGUCUUGCAGGUACUAGGUCCCUUGCUUUCGAAAACCAGGUCCCUUGUAAACUUCUAUAUGAGUUCUUGAAAAGGCUUGAUGGCUGACUUCCUUCUUUGGAUGAAUGAAUAUAAUAUGGUGUUUGUCAUGCUAAAAGUACCAAACGUAAACACUCAUUAGCCAUUGGACAAACACCCUCCUCCAUUCUGAUUGGUGUAGUACACUGACGCCUUACCAACCUCUGACUUGACAGCUGUACAGCUGUAACAAAUUAUGUAUCUGAUGGAGGAAACUUUGCUCGUACCAGGUCCCUGCAUUUGUGAGAUACUGAAACAUACAAUCUCAUCCGCUCUUCUAAUUGGUGUAGGAUACAACACUUUUAACCUACCACCUGACAUGACAACUUUUAUGACUGUACCCCAUUUGUAUCUGGACGAGAGCACUCUGCCAGGAACCAGGUCCCUGCAUUUGAUAGGAUCAUCAAAACACCUAGAAUAUAACAUUUUCCCCUUUUUUACUGAUAGCAGAAAAAUAUACCUCACACUGAGUUUAUCAUUCAUCUUAUUGUCAGCAUUUCCAAUAACAAGGAUUUGGUUCCUUGUUAGAUCGAUAAGUUUGUUAAAUCAUCAAAACAUCAUAUCAAGUUUGAGCUAUCAUCUUAACUCAGCUUGUAAAAUCAUCAAAACAUCAACAUAUCAUUUUCCCCUUUUUUUAUGAUGACAAACAUCUUCUUCCCCCUAUCGACAUGACCAGGUCCUCGUUAGGUAGCAAGCAUUUAUUCCCCUAUCAUCAUGACCAUAUCUCUUCAAGUAGCUACCACUGAUUCCUCCUAUCAAUGUGACCAUGUCUUCUUCAAGAAGUUAUAACACUAUUGAUCUCAUACCUUACCUUAACAACUCUUCCCCAUUUGAAAUUAUAAAAAGGGGUUAAAGCAGUAAACCAAGUUGACAGAAAUAUAGUUCUUGCAAAUUCAUGGCCACUUGGGCAACACAGAGCAUUAGCAAAAAGGCAUAAAGUAAUGAGACAAGUCUGUAGAAACAAGACAUUUAACAUCCAUAAACAAAAGAUUAGUCAUCAAAGCAUUGCACGUAUGGUUACAGAUGAAAACCAGAACAAUGCCCAAGAGAUAAAUGAGGACUGACAUAGAUAGGUAGGAAGAUAAGGGAUGAUUUAGAGGCAUGAGAUUGAAAGAAUAGAAUUAGUAGAGCAUAUCCCUAGCAUAAGAUUUCAAGAAUCUUCUCUUAGCGUACAACAUAAUGUGCAACCCAACCUGUAUGUUUAACCUUCAGGGCUGCCAAUUUUUAUCAUUUUUUUUUGUUGGCACCUGGUCCCUUUGAUAGUGUUGUUUCAUAAUGCUGGGCUAUUAAACAACCCAUUUUAGUAUUCCAGUUAACACGAGCAACUGACAUAGCUUCCAACACCAGCCUGAGUUUUUCAUAACAGAAAGAUUGGUAACACAAACAACUCAAGGCCUCCAAGAUGAAUAGAUCAAUAAUUGAGGAAUCAAGAAGAUUUUUUUACACCUUCCUCUUCAGAAAACGUUGAGUUCUCAGAAUAUCAACUUCUCCUUUUUUAGCAUCACCUUUUCCACUUCUUCAUUUUUGAUGGAUGACCAGAUCCCUCUUCAUACUGAAAAUAUUUUCAUCAAAGAAUUCUCCAGCAAGAAUCAAGGGGUUAAAAAUUUGAAGUGUGUUUGAAAAGUAGAGAAAAGAGAAUUUUGAAGCACCUUUUUAUUUGGAAGGAAACUCAAUUUUUCUGGGAAUAUAGAAGAAAUAUGGAAUAUAAAUAAAGUGAAAAUAAGGUAUCAUUUUGACACUCAAAAGAUGAAAGAACAGUCAGAUUCCUGAAGGACAGACAUGUGGCAAUUUCAAUGAUUCUCAUGCAUAAUUCAAACUGCAAUGUUAAGAUUAUUAACCUUCGAGAAAGGACCAGGUCAUUCUUUGUAGUUUGAAUGUAAUUGCCUAGAUCUAUCCUGGCCUCCCUUUUUCUUCAUCCCCUUUUCAAUGUGUGUAUACCUACAAAAGGUAUGAAACUGAAUUUGCUAAAACAUACAUAACCGAAAAUCAAGGAUACCUUCUCCCCUUUUCAUAGUCAUUCAAAGAGUUUAUUGCUUCAGGUAUAAUCCAUUCAAGAAGGUUUUAGCAUUUCCAUCAUUAUCUUGAUUAAUUCAGCCAGAUUUUUAUGAGCUUCAAGAUGUUUCCUGAUCCACAAUAGUUGACCCCAUCAUGAUACACUUGCUACAUUUAUUACCUCAGUUGAUGAAAGAGCAAUUAAAUCUUGCCUUUUAAUUCCACAUGAGUGAAAGAUCAGCGCAUAACAGAAUCCACUCUUUAGGUACUCAAUCUAUCAGUUGAUACUUAGCAUAAUCAAAAACACCAUGUACUACAAAUAAAAAAGUCUCCCAAUGGACAGAAUAGGACCAGGUCCUCUAUCUUCUUCAGAUGACUUAAGAUUUUCUCAGCAGCCUUCAAAAUAUUUUCCUUUGUAAAUGAGUAGAGUCUUUGAACCAGAUCGAUCAGCAUCAAACUUCUAGUUAGUUCCUAAGAAAGUAUGAAUUGUCUAUACACCUAAAACAUGAAGCCCUUUCAGCAGCUUCUUUGAACUGGUAUUGGUUUCUUCUUUGAUCAGACAUCAAUGACCCCUGAAUGUUGUUCUAUAUUCUUCUCUGUAGCUAAGCUCCUAUGAGAGUAUUCGACUGGUCCGUGCUUAGAGCUUCAGUAAAGAUGUCACCCACUUAAUCUUCCUUCUUACAAAACAUUAUGAUGACACUAUCCCUCUUUAUCAUUUUUUAACAUCAAAUAUUUACGUCGUUUGAUAGCUCAUUAAUGUGCUUUUCAGGACAACCGAGGGUACCUUUCAAGGUGCGCUAUAUCUGUAGCUCUAGGAAGAAAUUUAAUUCUUCCAUUAUGUUUAUUUCAACACUCACUUUCAAUGAGUUAAAUAGAAAUAAGAUCUUCACACAACACCUCAAAGAUUGCCUCAAAGAUGACAUCAUCAAUAUGUACCUGAAUGAUCAGCAGUUCCUUGUAUAUUGAAUUCAAAGAGAAGAGUUUUUGACAAUUUUACUUCUCUUGAAGACAUUGUUGAGGAGCAACUUGGACAACCGAUCAUCUUGUAGGGUAAUCGACUAUCAGAUUUUUAUUCUUUCAAACUGAGCUUGAUUAGCUUCUUCAUUGUCACCUUCGAAUGUCACAUUAUCAGUUUGAACUGCAUCAUCUUUGUUCAGCACUAUCUAGAAACCAGGUCUCUCAUCAAGUUCAUCAUCUACAUGAUCUUAUUUGAGAUUGUUGGAUUCAUGAAUAGGAUGUUCUUCAGCAAGCUCACUAUUUAAACCAUUUCUCUGAUUCUGAAGCAACUCUUCUAUCUCAAAAACUUCUUUCCUUGCAACUUCCAAAAUCUUCUAGACUCAUCAAUAAACACAUGACCAUUUUUAGUAUACCCCUGAUAAGCCUUGCUGGUGGAGUAGUGUACCACAAUUAUUCUUUCAUCAAUGUUAAGAUCAAACAUCUCAUUAUCAUCAUUUUGGUCACAAACAUGUACCAUUUAUCACUUCAGUCAAAAGUUUCUUGAAAGAUUUAAAGUCUGCAUAUUUCACCUGAAGGACGUCUGAUCUGCUUCUCCUUAACAUCAUCAUCAUAACCUUUGUCAUUUACAAAUAUUAUUUUAUGCAGACUGGACCAGGUCCCCUGACACAGGUUUGUCCAGCAAAGCAACACUCAUGAGCACGUUUCCUUAAUCACACCCAAUACCUUGAGCAUUAAGUUCAGUGAGACUAUCAAAAUGAGUAGUAAAAAGAUCAGCAAUAUAUAUAUUCUUGCAUCUCUUUUCUAUCAAAAUCAUCGACCGAGAGAGCAAGUUUGAGACAAAACAGUUAUCUGAUAAGAGCUUACCUUAAUUUCAUUCAUCACAAAUCUACACCAAUAAUGUAGUGUUUAUUGCCAUUUGCCAAAAGAGACAUCUCCACCUUGAAGUGUCUUGAGAGAGAGGAAGUUCAGUGCUUUGAGCAUCCACCAUUCAUGAAUCGACACUGGUUGUUGCCACUUCCUCUCACAAGAAUGUCAUGUCACGUGUUAGCCUUGGGAACCCACUUCAGUUGAAGUUUCCAGUAAGAAGAUAAAGGAGUGAUAAGAGAAUUCUUUGUCCAGUGAGGCAAAUUUAUAUUUUUCAACUUAGGAAUAGAAGCAAGAACAGGUCCCUUCUUCUGCAAGUUCUUCUGUUGGACAUACAUAGGACCAGGUCCUUUCUUCAGUCUAUUCCGUUAUUUGGAAUAGUUUGAUGAACUUUCUCCACAAUCUUUAAAUGCAGGACAUUCUCUUUUGCAACUCAGAUCUCCUUUUAUGUUGUUUCUUUGACUGAGUAUAUUUGUAAGGAUCUUAGAGGAAUUAGUCCAUUUGAGGGAAUUUUCAAGUUCCUCUUUUACACGGACCAGGUCCCUCUCCAAUGCAUGAUUUCUCUCGAAAGCCACCUUAAUCUUCAUUUUAGCAGUAUGCAGCUUAUUUUCAAGGUCUAGCUGCAAUUUGAUAGCCUCACUCUUUUUAUUUUAAAAAUUGUAGUAGUCGCCCCUUUUAUCUUUUCCUUUAGUUCUAGAUUUUCUGUUUCUAGAACAACCAUUUGACUUUCAAUAUCAGAUACUUGGGCAACUAAAUCAGUUUUUCAAUCUUGAAAGAUGUCUAGGUUGUUGUUUACGAGAUCUUUCUCAUCUUUCAUCUCACUUAUCAAAUAAGAUAGACUUACCUUUUCAUCAGAAUCUUCUUCGUCUGACUUUGCCAUAAAACCAUUAUCUGUGUUUUCAGAAUCAUUUGAAUCACUUGAGGAUUUUUCCCAUGCAGCCAUUUUUCUUUUUACUGCCCCGAAGAAGACUUCUCUUCUGCUUAUCUUGGGACAGACCUGGUCCCCUUCUUUGUCUUUACCUUUUGUAUUCUUGACACUAGGAACAGGUUCUUCAAGGAACAUGAGCUCAUCUAUGAUUUUGGAGAAUCUGGUGCGCACUUCAUGAAUGAGUUCACCAUCAUUCAUGCUGAAAUCUUCAAACUGAGUAGAAAAAAAAUCUACCUUAGAUUUCCUUAUUUUCUCAGUGCCCUCAUAUUUUGUUUUUAACAGAUCCCAAAUUUCCUUGGCUGAUUCACAUGAUGAAAUCAGAUCGUAUUCAUUUAUACUAAGGCCACACAUCAAUAGCUUCCCUGGUUUAUGAUUUUUCUGGACUAAUAGUUUGUCAGAGUCAUUAAAUUGUUUUCUAGUUUUGAAAAUGACUCUUGUGACCUCUCCAUCUUUAACCUCCAUAGUUGACACAUAAGGACCUUAACAUAUGACAUCCCAUACUUCACUGUCCUCACCCAUGAGAUAAUCUCUCAUCUGAAUCUUCAAAUGUUCAUAGAGUUUACUAUCAAACAGUGGAGGUCUUGUGGGGGACUGAUUUCUUUGAUUAUUUAGUAGUGACGCCAUUUCUCGCAGGAACUUUUCUCUUGGCGUUAACCAGAUAAAGAGCACCUGCUCUGAUACCAUUUGUUGGAAUAUGUGCGUCCACUACCAGUCAAUGAACCACGUCCCUUGACACAACAAGAACAGUGCGGAACAUUAAACAAUAUUUAUGUAUGUAUGUAUGUAUGUGUGUGUGUGUGUAUGUGUGUAUGUUGUAUGUAUGUAUGUAUGUAUGUAUAUAUGUAUUUAUAUAUAUGUAUUAUCAUCAUAUCAUAUAUUUAUAUGAAAGAGAACCUUAGGCCUGCUUAUUUGGCGCCACUACAAACCAGGAUUCACUUUUUCCUUAAUUAUUCUCAAAAUUAGUCUUUCCAUACAUGAAAAGUUGUGACUUUUAUGAAAAAUUGUGACUUUUUAUGAAAAUUUCUGACAUAUACGAAGUGUUGCAAAUUUUAUGAAGAGUUGUGACUUUUAUGAAGAGUUGCAAAUUUUACGACAAGUUGCGACUUAUAUGAAGGGUGGCAACUUUAGUAAAAAAUUAUUGCUUUUAUGAAAGAUUGUGACUUGUCCAAAGUGUUUUGACCUUUCCGAUAAGACACAACAAACAUUCACUCAAGCUACCCUUUGUAGUCUAUAAAUAGAGGGAUUUCCUCUAAUUUUAAAAUAACGAAAAUACAUGUCCUUUGCUCCUAUUGAGUGGCUAACUGACACCAUUGUUUUUCAAUCAACACACUGGUGAAUAGAAUCGUUCUGUCCUGACAAGAUAUAUUCCUUUAAACUUCGGGUACUAGAAUGAAAAAAAUUCCUUAAGGGGACAAUGUCCAAUAAGUGGGCUCGAUUUUUCCUUUAUGUUUCAUUUAUUAUUACAGAUCCUCUUAUGCUUUUUACAAUACUAAAUUUAUGCUUAAAUUAUUACUUUUUUUUUGAGUACAUGUUUUAAAUAUUUUUUUGUUUAUUUUUAUUCUUUUGAUCAUUGUUUGGAAGUAAAAAUAUUUUAAUCAAGAGUUUUAUAUAAUUAUUAGACUAUUCGUGUCAUUUAUAUGAAAAUUCUUGAAGUACAAAAAUAAAUGUGCUUGAUUUUUAUAGACUUUUAGUGGCUAAAAGAUCCAUGGGAUGUCUAAGAAGGGACUUUGAGUGUGCAAAAGAUAUGGUUGUUCCACACUACCUUGGUGUUUUAUUUAUUCAAUUUUCUAUCUUAUCGAGUCUUUUAAUCGAUAAAUGAGAUCCAAAAAAUAAAGGAAUGUAGUAGGACAGUAAGUAUUGUGCUCCACAUUAAUCAAACGUUUGGGGUUUAAAUGUUGGGUUGGAGUCAAUGAAUUACCCCUCAAAGUAGAAUAAAUCUAUAUUAAUCUAAUGUAAAAGAAACAAUUAUUUUCUUAUAAAUUGUAGAUUGAAAUUCCUCCACAUAAGUAAGUUUUAACUAUAUUGAUCGAAACAUAAACAACAAAAUAUUCCUUUUGGCUAUCAAAGUAACGUCAUCGAGUGCAUAUGAUUUUGAAUAAGGGGCAUGAAAAGACAUCAUUUAAUAUAAAUUAAUUGAACGACAUACGUUAUUUAAUUGAACUUCAAGGGAUGCAUUUUUCUAUUUUAAUUAACUUAUCAAGUACAAAAAUAAUUAUAUAAGAUGUAUAAUAUUUAAAUUCUACAUGUAGAGGCCUUGAAUAGGAGAAAAAUUCUCGCAAUUGAUGAAUACAUUUUUUUUACAAAUUUUUGAAAAUAUACAUAGAUAGACAAUGAAGCAAUUACAUAUCUUUUCUAAAGACUUUGGUGAUGAACAACUACAUUUAAAUUGUAGAAUUAAUAACAAAAUUCAUAAAAACGUAGAAUCAAAUAUUUACCUACUAUAUAUAUAAAAGAGAACCCUUGGUCGCCUACGUUGUGCCACUACAAACGAACAUUCUCUUUAAAUUUAUUUUAUUUCAAAAACCAGCCUUCCUUUUUAAUGAAAAGUUAUGACUUUUAUGAAAAUUUGUAAAUUUUUUCCAUGAAGAGUUGUGACUUAUGAAGACUUGCAACUUUUAUGAAAUGUUGUGACCUUUCUGGAGGCUUGUAACUUUUCAAAAAGGUUGUGACUUUUCUGAUAAGAAACAGUAACCACAUUUCUACACUACUUUUUGUUGUCUAUAAAUAGAGGACUAUACUUUGCAUUCCGUGGGCUCAACUUUUUUCAUUCUGUUUCAUUCUAUUAUUGCAUAUUCUAGUAAAUUUUUUACAAUCAUUAGUUUAUGCUUAUAUUAUUAGUUGUUGUUUUUUGAAUAUAUGUUUUAAACUUUGAUUUUUAUAUUUAUGUAAAGUUUAUGUUAUAAGUAUUUGUUAGUUAGAUUAAAUAACAAAUGUUAAUAGAAUAUUCAAGAAAGUUUUCGCGUCUGAAAUUAUUGAAGAUACCUUUAAAAAGCCCUUACAAUUCUCAAAUUUCUUCAUCAACAACGUUAUUCCUUCACAAACGAGGAGGUGAUUUUGUGUUAUUCAGAAAAUCAAUGUGAGAAUUAAUAACUAUGCGUGUGCAUAUUUUUUGUUUUUACGUGGAUAUUAUGAGUACUUUAAUGACUGAAAGUUUAUUGAAGUGUCAGUCAAUUAAAGUGGAGGUAUCUUAUUUCAAUAUAUAGGAAUUUUUUUGGUGAAAAUGAUUUGUUAUCAUCAUUGGAUAUAUCAUAGUUUACCUCCUUUAUUGUAUGUUUUUUCUCGCUCUUUUGUUUUCUCCUUACAAUUGAAUUGAUUUUUUUUGACAUGUAUAUAAAGCCACUAUGACGAAAAUCUUCGUCCUUUUAAUGUUUAUUUUCAUUUUCUCAUUUAAUCUUCUAAAUAUUUUGGACGUAUGAUGUGACUAUUUUAGCCAAUCUUAAUUUGAAAAAUAUGAAACAAACCUACAAAUAAAAGUAAUAUUUUAAGUUAAAGAAGAUAAGUCUGUUAAAAUAAAUUUGUUGUCCUUCAUUCCUCAAGUCAUUGUUAAGCGUUCAAAUUGUCUAAGUUAGACUCAUUUUUAAUUUUUAAUGUUUGAGAAUGUUUCUUUAACAUGAGUCCAGAAUAAAACAUUUUCAUCUCUGUAUACUUUAAUAAUGAAAUAAUCAUACAUAAAUAUUCCUAAAAAGUCAUAAAGUUACAUUGAUGAAGAAUUCAGAAUGGCCUUCUGUAGUUCAAUGAAGAGUGAAUUUGUAUAAGGGUUAAAAAUAUUAUUUUGUUGUGGUUUCAAAUAAAUUUUUCUCUUUCUAUAAUUUUUUUAUAAUAACAAAGUAAUAAUAACGAAAAGUGAGAAACAUUUGACCUCAAAGAAGUAGAUUGUCUCUAAAAAUAUUAUUUCUGUUGUUGCGGUGUAUACUUUUUAACGGACAUAACUUAUUUAUAACUAUAUUGAUUAUCAAAAACUUUCACAAAAUGUUGUUACACAAGGAGUUAUUAUAACCAUAAAUCUAUUAGAUUCUAUAUUUCAUGUAUAAAAAAAAGAUUUUUAAUGGCUACAUAAAAACAUGACUCAAUUUUAACAAGAAAAUUAUAUCAUAAAACAUAUAAUAUGAUAAAUUAUGUAAAAGAUAAAAAUAAUUAAAUAUCAAGAUAUUUCUAAUCAUUAAUUGUAUAUUAAUAAUUUUUGAGAUAUGAGAUAACGUCAAAUCAUGUAAUUUGUCUAUAAAUUUUUAAAAACCUACAAAAAUUUACUUUUUUCUUAUUAUAGUCGAUCAUUGGUAAAGUUGUUCACAAGUUUAGAAAGAUUUCUUAUGUCCGCAACCAAUGAAGCCUUUUCAUUUGUUUUGGAAUCUGGGCCCAAAACGUCUCAGCCUUCUUAAUGUAAAAAAAGGUGAAAAAAAAUAUGCACAGAGUGAGAAUCAAACUCGACCAUUCCAGGCGGAACUUGAACCCCUUAUUCAUUACGCGAUCCUCUAUUUAAUAUUUAGGGGUUCAUUUUGAUUAAUAUACUCAUAAAACCAGAAAUUGACCUUACAUAUACAGUUUAAUUUUUCGACGUAGGGGGUUCGAGUGAACCCCCUAGAUUGCACAUGUAUCCGCCCCUGUGUGCGGGAUAUGGGAAGAGAAAUAAUUCACAUGGAUUCAACUCAUAGCUUUGUAAAACUGAGUAGACUAAUCAGACCUCAAGAAAUACGUGUUGUUGUACAACGAAAUAGUUGGUGUUAUCAGCUAAAGAAAAAACAUACAAUAAAAGAAGAAAAGAGAGACAUAAUAUUAAGUUAGAAGAAGAAAUGUUUAAAUAGAAGGAAAUCCUAACAUUUUGGAGUACAUAAUUAAGUAACUGGAAAAAAACUAGGCACUAAGUCUACCAACAACUCAACAUGCCUAAAGACUAGGAAACUCAAAACUGAAAAACUAAAACUGAAAUAUUUAUAUUUAGAAAAUAGAAAAAACAUCAUCAGCCAUGUCACCAUGCCAAUUCAACAUCAAUUAAUAACUCAAGAGGUAGAUUUCAACACUUCUCCUUGCAUCAAGAGCUGCAAAUUCCAUGUCCCUUUCCGAAUAACUCAAAUUUGCUUGCCGGAAGAGUUUUUGUAAAAAUAUCAGUCAGCUGCUCUUUCGUUCUGCAAUAUACCAGAUUCGCUAAACCAUCCCUUGCACUUCUCUUAGAAUGUAUAGAGUCACAUUGAAAUGUAUUGUCUUUCUAUGAAAAAUUGGAUUGUGAGAAAUAGCAGAGGCAACUUUUUUUCCCACACAUAUUUUAGUGCUUUCCUUCAUUUCCAAUCAAAGACCGCAUAAGAUUUUCUUUAUCCAUAAAGCUUGAUUGCCUGGUGCUGUAGCAGCAAUGAAUUCUGCUGCUGCAAUUUAUUGAGCAACAAUCUCUCUUUUUUUUGGAACAACAAGAAACGUAUCCAGCACCAAAAAUAAAACCGUACCCUGAAGUACUUUUCAUAUCAUAGUCCAUUGAGCCUGUGAUAUAUCUGAGUACUCUUUUUGCAGCUUGUAUAUGCAAUUCACUAGAAGAAUUCAAGAAUCGGGAUAGAACACUUAGAUCAUACAAUAUAUGUGGUCUUGUUGCUAUAAGAUACAUCAAACAUCCUAUCAGCUUUUGCAUAUCCAGCUGGUUCAAAUACGACUACAUUUCAUCUUUGAUAGAUACUUGAAAGUGAUUUAGUUCCUCGAACGGGAAGAUGAUCAACUCGUUCCUCAAAAUUGUGCAAUUCAUUAGCUUUUCAUUCUUGUUUUUCUCCAUCCUUAUACGGUUGCUUUUGUUAUAAAAAAUACACAUCUCUGUAAACCAAAAAUAUUCCAUUUUCAGAUCGGAAAGUUCUGUAAGCUUUUUACUGCAAAGCUAUAGCCAAUGAAAUUCUAGGUUCUACCUUCUUGUCAAGUUUAUCCAUUUUCAGCUAAGGUAUGUGAGAAAAGCAUAAGCAACAAAAAAUAUUGAGAUUUUUUUGUGAAGGUUUGUAAGCAUUUCAUGCUUCAAAAGGUGUUUGACCAGUAACUGCCUUUGUAUGCAGCAAAUUCAACAAAAAUACAGUAGUAUUAGCUGCCUCUGCCCAUAACUCCUUGGGAAGAUCUUUCUCAUGCAACAUACACCUUGAUAUCUUCUUGACGAUCGUAGUCUUCCUUACGCUAACUCCAUUUUUCUGAGGAGUUUAUGGAGUAGUGAGUUGAUGCUCUAUUCCAGCAACUUUACAAAAGUUUUGAACUGAUCUGAUGUGGACUAAGUUCCAUUAUCUGAUCUGAGCACUUGUAGUUUGCAGCCGCUUUGAUUUUUACCAAGGCUUUUAAUUUUCAAAAAGCAUCAGCUACCUCCGAUUUAAUCUUAAGAAGUAUAUCUAACAUCCUUAAUAUAUCAUCAAUAGAAAUCAUGUAGUACCUGUUUCCUUUCAAUGAUAUAGUUCUUUGCGGGCCUCCAAGAUAUAUAUGAAUUAGUUGCAAUUUUCAGUCGCUCUCCAAGUUUAUUUUGGGAAUGGCGAUCUCGUCUGCAUACCAAGUUGACAUGCCUCGCAAAUUGGGAGUUUUGUUCAAGUGAAGGUAAACCGUUUACCAACACUUUUUUUUGCAUAUACAAAAGCACCCUGUGGUGAAAGUGACCCAACCGUUUGUGCCAUGUUUCUCCAACACCAGACUUAAUUGGAUUCCAUUUGGAUAAAUGAUCAGACACACCUUAUCUUCAAAAAGUAAUUUGAACCCAUUUUCAAGUAACCGUCCAACAUUUAAUAAAUUUUUAUCAAGUUCAGAAUUAAAUAGAACUUGAGAAACAAAUUUUGUGCCUAUAUAAUCUCAAUAGCUACAGUCCACUUUCCUUUUGUAGGGAAGUAUUCUCCAUUUCCAGUCCUGACUCUUGAUGUUGUUGUUUUAUCAAGCCUUUUGAAUAGCUUUCCAUCACUAGUCAUGUGGUUUUUACAACCACUAUCAAUAAGACAACUGUCACUUGAAAUACUAGAUGCAAAACUUGAUGCAAUAAAUUUGAGCUUCUAGUUAGUUCCUAAGAAAGUAUGAAUUGUCUAUACACCUAAAACAUGAAGCCCUUUCAGCAGCUUCUUUGAACUGGUAUUGGUUUCUUCUUUGAUCAGACAUCAAUGACCCCUGAAUGUUGUUCUAUAUUCUUCUCUGUAGCUAAGCUCCUAUGAGAGUAUUCGACUGGUCCGUGCUUAGAGCUUCAGUAAAGAUGUCACCCACUUAAUCUUCCUUCUUACAAAACAUUAUGAUGACACUAUCCCUCUUUAUCAUUUUUUAACAUCAAAUAUUUACGUCGUUUGAUAGCUCAUUAAUGUGCUUUUCAGGACAACCGAGGGUACCUUUCAAGGUGCGCUAUAUCUGUAGCUCUAGGAAGAAAUUUAAUUCUUCCAUUAUGUUUAUUUCAACACUCACUUUCAAUGAGUUAAAUAGAAAUAAGAUCUUCACACAACACCUCAAAGAUUGCCUCAAAGAUGACAUCAUCAAUAUGUACCUGAAUGAUCAGCAGUUCCUUGUAUAUUGAAUUCAAAGAGAAGAGUUUUUGACAAUUUUACUUCUCUUGAAGACAUUGUUGAGGAGCAACUUGGACAACCGAUCAUCUUGUAGGGUAAUCGACUAUCAGAUUUUUAUUCUUUCAAACUGAGAUUGAUUAGCUUCUUCAUUGUCACCUUCGAAUGUCACAUUAUCAGUUUGAACUGCAUCAUCUUUGUUCAGCACUAUCUAGAAACCAGGUCUCUCAUCAAGUUCAUCAUCUACAUGAUCUUAUUUGAGAUUGUUGGAUUCAUGAAUAGGAUGUUCUUCAGCAAGCUCACUAUUUAAACCAUUUCUCUGAUUCUGAAGCAACUCUUCUAUCUCAAAAACUUCUUUCCUUGCAACUUCCAAAAUCUUCUAGACUCAUCAAUAAACACAUGACCAUUUUUAGUAUACCCCUGAUAAGCCUUGCUGGUGGAGUAGUGUACCACAAUUAUUCUUUCAUCAAUGUUAAGAUCAAACAUCUCAUUAUCAUCAUUUUGGUCACAAACAUGUACCAUUUAUCACUUCAGUCAAAAGUUUCUUGAAAGAUUUAAAGUCUGCAUAUUUCACCUGAAGGACGUCUGAUCUGCUUCUCCUUAACAUCAUCAUCAUAACCUUUGUCAUUUACAAAUAUUAUUUUAUGCAGACUGGACCAGGUCCCCUGACACAGGUUUGUCCAGCAAAGCAACACUCAUGAGCACGUUUCCUUAAUCACACCCAAUACCUUGAGCAUUAAGUUCAGUGAGACUAUCAAAAUGAGCAGUAAAAAGAUCAGCAAUAUAUAUAUUCUUGCAUCUCUUUUCUAUCAAAAUCAUCGACCGAGAGAGCAAGUUUGAGACAAAACAGUUAUCUGAUAAGAGCUUACCUUAAUUUCAUUCAUCACAAAUCUACACCAAUAAUGUAGUGUUUAUUGCCAUUUGCCAAAAGAGACAUCUCCACCUUGAAGUGUCUUGAGAGAGAGGAAGUUCAGUGCUUUGAGCAUCCACCAUUCAUGAAUCGACACUGGUUGUUGCCACUUCCUCUCACAAGAAUGUCAUGUCACGUGUUAGCCUUGGGAACCCACUUCAGUUGAAGUUUCCAGUAAGAAGAUAAAGGAGUGAUAAGAGAAUUCUUUGUCCAGUGAGGCAAAUUUAUAUUUUUCAACUUAGGAAUAGAAGCAAGAACAGGUCCCUUCUUCUGCAAGUUCUUCUGUUGGACAUACAUAGGACCAGGUCCUUUCUUCAGUCUAUUCCGUUAUUUGGAAUAGUUUGAUGAACUUUCUCCACAAUCUUUAAAUGCAGGACAUUCUCUUUUGCAACUCAGAUCUCCUUUUAUGUUGUUUCUUUGACUGAGUAUAUUUGUAAGGAUCUUAGAGGAAUUAGUCCAUUUGAGGGAAUUUUCAAGUUCCUCUUUUACACGGACCAGGUCCCUCUCCAAUGCAUGAUUUCUCUCGAAAGCCACCUUAAUCUUCAUUUUAGCAGUAUGCAGCUUAUUUUCAAGGUCUAGCUGCAAUUUGAUAGCCUCACUCUUUUUAUUUUAAAAAUUGUAGUAGUCGCCCCUUUUAUCUUUUCCUUUAGUUCUAGAUUUUCUGUUUCUAGAACAACCAUUUGACUUUCAAUAUCAGAUACUUGGGCAACUAAAUCAGUUUUUCAAUCUUGAAAGAUGUCUAGGUUGUUGUUUACGAGAUCUUUCUCAUCUUUCAUCUCACUUAUCAAAUAAGAUAGACUUACCUUUUCAUCAGAAUCUUCUUCGUCUGACUUUGCCAUAAAACCAUUAUCUGUGUUUUCAGAAUCAUCUGAAUCACUUGAGGAUUUUUCCCAUGCAGCCAUUUUUCUUUUUACUGCCCCGAAGAAGACUUCUCUUCUGCUUAUCUUGGGACAGACCUGGUCCCCUUCUUUGUCUUUACCUUUUGUAUUCUUGACACUAGGAACAGGUUCUUCAAGGAACAUGAGCUCAUCUAUGAUUUUGGAGAAUCUGGUGCGCACUUCAUGAAUGAGUUCACCAUCAUUCAUGCUGAAAUCUUCAAACUGAGUAGAAAAAAAAUCUACCUUAGAUUUCCUUAUUUUCUCAGUGCCCUCAUAUUUUGUUUUUAACAGAUCCCAAAUUUCCUUGGCUGAUUCACAUGAUGAAAUCAGAUCGUAUUCAUUUAUACUAAGGCCACACAUCAAUAGCUUCCCUGGUUUAUGAUUUUUCUGGACUAAUAGUUUGUCAGAGUCAUUAAAUUGUUUUCUAGUUUUGAAAAUGACUCUUGUGACCUCUCCAUCUUUAACCUCCAUAGUUGACACAUAAGGACCUUAACAUAUGACAUCCCAUACUUCACUGUCCUCACCCAUGAGAUAAUCUCUCAUCUGAAUCUUCCAAUGUUCAUAGAGUUUACUAUCAAACAGUGGAGGUCUUGUGGGGGACUGAUUUCUUUGAUUAUUUAGUAGUGACGCCAUUUCUCGCAGGAACUUUUCUCUUGGCGUUAACCAGAUAAAGAGCACCUGCUCUGAUACCAUUUGUUGGAAUAUGUGCGUCCACUACCAGUCAAUGAACCACGUCCCUUGACACAACAAGAACAGUGCGGAACAUUAAACAAUAUGUAUGUAUGUAUGUAUGUAUGUGUGUGUGUGUGUAUGUGUGUAUGUUGUAUGUAUGUAUGUAUGUAUGUAUAUAUGUAUUUAUAUAUAUGUAUUAUCAUCAUAUCAUAUAUUUAUAUGAAAGAGAACCUUAGGCCUGCUUAUUUGGCGCCACUACAAACCAGGAUUCACUUUUUCCUUAAUUAUUCUCAAAAUUAGUCUUUCCAUACAUGAAAAGUUGUGACUUUUAUGAAAAAUUGUGACUUUUUAUGAAAAUUUCUGACAUAUACGAAGUGUUGCAAAUUUUAUGAAGAGUUGUGACUUUUAUGAAGAGUUGCAAAUUUUACGACAAGUUGCGACUUAUAUGAAGGGUGGCAACUUUAGUAAAAAAUUAUUGCUUUUAUGAAAGAUUGUGACUUGUCCAAAGUGUUUUGACCUUUCCGAUAAGACACAACAAACAUUCACUCAAGCUACCCUUUGUAGUCUAUAAAUAGAGGGAUUUCCUCUAAUUUUAAAAUAACGAAAAUACAUGUCCUUUGCUCCUAUUGAGUGGCUAACUGACACCAUUGUUUUUCAAUCAACACACUGGUGAAUAGAAUCGUUCUGUCCUGACAAGAUAUAUUCCUUUAAACUUCGGGUACUAGAAUGAAAAAAAUUCCUUAAGGGGACAAUUUCCAAUAAGUGGGCUCGAUUUUUCCUUUAUGUUUCAUUUAUUAUUACAGAUCCUCUUAUGCUUUUUACAAUACUAAAUUUAUGCUUAAAUUAUUACUUUUUUUUUUGAGUACAUGUUUUAAAUAUUUUUUUGUUUAUUUUUAUUCUUUUGAUCAUUGUUUGGAAGUAAAAAUAUUUUAAUCAAGAGUUUUAUAUAAUUAUUAGACUAUUCGUGUCAUUUAUAUGAAAAUUCUUGAAGUACAAAAAUAAAUGUGCUUGAUUUUUAUAGACUUUUAGUGGCUAAAAGAUCCAUGGGAUGUCUAAGAAGGGACUUUGAGUGUGCAAAAGAUAUGGUUGUUCCACACUACCUUGGUGUUUUAUUUAUUCAAUUUUCUAUCUUAUCGAGUCUUUUAAUCGAUAAAUGAGAUCCAAAAAAUAAAGGAAUGUAGUAGGACAGUAAGUAUUGUGCUCCACAUUAAUCAAACGUUUGGGGUUUAAAUGUUGGGUUGGAGUCAAUGAAUUACCCCUCAAAGUAGAAUAAAUCUAUAUUAAUCUAAUGUAAAAGAAACAAUUAUUUUCUUAUAAAUUGUAGAUUGAAAUUCCUCCACAUAAGUAAGUUUUAACUAUAUUGAUCGAAACAUAAACAACAAAAUAUUCCUUUUGGCUAUCAAAGUAACGUCAUCGAGUGCAUAUGAUUUUGAAUAAGGGGCAUGAAAAGACAUCAUUUAAUAUAAAUUAAUUGAACGACAUACGUUAUUUAAUUGAACUUCAAGGGAUGCAUUUUUCUAUUUUAAUUAACUUAUCAAGUACAAAAAUAAUUAUAUAAGAUGUAUAAUAUUUAAAUUCUACAUGUAGAGGCCUUGAAUAGGAGAAAAAUUCUCGCAAUUGAUGAAUACAUUUUUUUUACAAAUUUUUGAAAAUAUACAUAGAUAGACAAUGAAGCAAUUACAUAUCUUUUCUAAAGACUUUGGUGAUGAACAACUACAUUUAAAUUGUAGAAUUAAUAACAAAAUUCAUAAAAACGUAGAAUCAAAUAUUUACCUACUAUAUAUAUAAAAGAGAACCCUUGGUCGCCUACGUUGUGCCACUACAAACGAACAUUCUCUUUAAAUUUAUUUUAUUUCAAAAACCAGCCUUCCUUUUUAAUGAAAAGUUAUGACUUUUAUGAAAAUUUGUAAAUUUUUUCCAUGAAGAGUUGUGACUUAUGAAGACUUGCAACUUUUAUGAAAUGUUGUGACCUUUCUGGAGGCUUGUAACUUUUCAAAAAGGUUGUGACUUUUCUGAUAAGAAACAGUAACCACAUUUCUACACUACUUUUUGUUGUCUAUAAAUAGAGGACUAUACUUUGCAUUCCGUGGGCUCAACUUUUUUCAUUCUGUUUCAUUCUAUUAUUGCAUAUUCUAGUAAAUUUUUUACAAUCAUUAGUUUAUGCUUAUAUUAUUAGUUGUUGUUUUUUGAAUAUAUGUUUUAAACUUUGAUUUUUAUAUUUAUGUAAAGUUUAUGUUAUAAGUAUUUGUUAGUUAGAUUAAAUAACAAAUGUUAAUAGAAUAUUCAAGAAAGUUUUCGCGUCUGAAAUUAUUGAAGAUACCUUUAAAAAGCCCUUACAAUUCUCAAAUUUCUUCAUCAACAACGUUAUUCCUUCACAAACGAGGAGGUGAUUUUGUGUUAUUCAGAAAAUCAAUGUGAGAAUUAAUAACUAUGCGUGUGCAUAUUUUUUGUUUUUACGUGGAUAUUAUGAGUACUUUAAUGACUGAAAGUUUAUUGAAGUGUCAGUCAAUUAAAGUGGAGGUAUCUUAUUUCAAUAUAUAGGAAUUUUUUUGGUGAAAAUGAUUUGUUAUCAUCAUUGGAUAUAUCAUAGUUUACCUCCUUUAUUGUAUGUUUUUUCUCGCUCUUUUGUUUUCUCCUUACAAUUGAAUUGAUUUUUUUUGACAUGUAUAUAAAGCCACUAUGACGAAAAUCUUCGUCCUUUUAAUGUUUAUUUUCAUUUUCUCAUUUAAUCUUCUAAAUAUUUUGGACGUAUGAUGUGACUAUUUUAGCCAAUCUUAAUUUGAAAAAUAUGAAACAAACCUACAAAUAAAAGUAAUAUUUUAAGUUAAAGAAGAUAAGUCUGUUAAAAUAAAUUUGUUGUCCUUCAUUCCUCAAGUCAUUGUUAAGCGUUCAAAUUGUCUAAGUUAGACUCAUUUUUAAUUUUUAAUGUUUGAGAAUGUUUCUUUAACAUGAGUCCAGAAUAAAACAUUUUCAUCUCUGUAUACUUUAAUAAUGAAAUAAUCAUACAUAAAUAUUCCUAAAAAGUCAUAAAGUUACAUUGAUGAAGAAUUCAGAAUGGCCUUCUGUAGUUCAAUGAAGAGUGAAUUUGUAUAAGGGUUAAAAAUAUUAUUUUGUUGUGGUUUCAAAUAAAUUUUUCUCUUUCUAUAAUUUUUUUAUAAUAACAAAGUAAUAAUAACGAAAAGUGAGAAACAUUUGACCUCAAAGAAGUAGAUUGUCUCUAAAAAUAUUAUUUCUGUUGUUGCGGUGUAUACUUUUUAACGGACAUAACUUAUUUAUAACUAUAUUGAUUAUCAAAAACUUUCACAAAAUGUUGUUACACAAGGAGUUAUUAUAACCAUAAAUCUAUUAGAUUCUAUAUUUCAUGUAUAAAAAAAAGAUUUUUAAUGGCUACAUAAAAACAUGACUCAAUUUUAACAAGAAAAUUAUAUCAUAAAACAUAUAAUAUGAUAAAUUAUGUAAAAGAUAAAAAUAAUUAAAUAUCAAGAUAUUUCUAAUCAUUAAUUGUAUAUUAAUAAUUUUUGAGAUAUGAGAUAACGUCAAAUCAUGUAAUUUGUCUAUAAAUUUUUAAAAACCUACAAAAAUUUACUUUUUUCUUAUUAUAGUCGAUCAUUGGUAAAGUUGUUCACAAGUUUAGAAAGAUUUCUUAUGUCCGCAACCAAUGAAGCCUUUUCAUUUGUUUUGGAAUCUGGGCCCAAAACGUCUCAGCCUUCUUAAUGUAAAAAAAGGUGAAAAAAAAUAUGCACAGAGUGAGAAUCAAACUCGACCAUUCCAGGCGGAACUUGAACCCCUUAUUCAUUACGCGAUCCUCUAUUUAAUAUUUAGGGGUUCAUUUUGAUUAAUAUACUCAUAAAACCAGAAAUUGACCUUACAUAUACAGUUUAAUUUUUCGACGUAGGGGGUUCGAGUGAACCCCCUAGAUUGCACAUGUAUCCGCCCCUGUGUGCGGGAUAUGGGAAGAGAAAUAAUUCACAUGGAUUCAACUCAUAGCUUUGUAAAACUGAGUAGACUAAUCAGACCUCAAGAAAUACGUGUUGUUGUACAACGAAAUAGUUGGUGUUAUCAGCUAAAGAAAAAACAUACAAUAAAAGAAGAAAAGAGAGACAUAAUAUUAAGUUAGAAGAAGAAAUGUUUAAAUAGAAGGAAAUCCUAACAUUUUGUAGUACAUAAUUAAGUAACUGGAAAAAAACUAGGCACUAAGUCUACCAACAACUCAACAUGCCUAAAGACUAGGAAACUCAAAACUGAAAAACUAAAACUGAAAUAUUUAUAUUUAGAAAAUAGAAAAAACAUCAUCAGCCAUGUCACCAUGCCAAUUCAACAUCAAUUAAUAACUCAAGAGGUAGAUUUCAACACUUCUCCUUGCAUCAAGAGCUGCAAAUUCCAUGUCCCUUUCCGAAUAACUCAAAUUUGCUUGCCGGAAGAGUUUUUGUAAAAAUAUCAGUCAGCUGCUCUUUCGUUCUGCAAUAUACCAGAUUCGCUAAACCAUCCCUUGCACUUCUCUUAGAAUGUAUAGAGUCACAUUGAAAUGUAUUGUCUUUCUAUGAAAAAUUGGAUUGUGAGAAAUAGCAGAGGCAACUUUUUUUCCCACACAUAUUUUAGUGCUUUCCUUCAUUUCCAAUCAAAGACCGCAUAAGAUUUUCUUUAUCCAUAAAGCUUGAUUGCCUGGUGCUGUAGCAGCAAUGAAUUCUGCUGCUGCAAUUUAUUGAGCAACAAUCUCUCUUUUUUUUGGAACAACAAGAAACGUAUCCAGCACCAAAAAUAAAACCGUACCCUGAAGUACUUUUCAUAUCAUAGUCCAUUGAGCCUGUGAUAUAUCUGAGUACUCUUUUUGCAGCUUGUAUAUGCAAUUCACUAGAAGAAUUCAAGAAUCGGGAUAGAACACUUAGAUCAUACAAUAUAUGUGGUCUUGUUGCUAUAAGAUACAUCAAACAUCCUAUCAGCUUUUGCAUAUCCAGCUGGUUCAAAUACGACUACAUUUCAUCUUUGAUAGAUACUUGAAAGUGAUUUAGUUCCUCGAACGGGAGGAUGAUCAACUCGUUCCUCAAAAUUGUGCAAUUCAUUAGCUUUUCAUUCUUGUUUUUCUCCAUCCUUAUACGGUUGCUUUUGUUAUAAAAAAUACACAUCUCUGUAAACCAAAAAUAUUCCAUUUUCAGAUCGGAAAAUUCUGUAAGCUUUUUACUGCAAAGCUAUAGCCAAUGAAAUUCUAGGUUCUACCUUCUUGUCAAGUUUAUCCAUUUUCAGCUAAGGUAUGUGAGAAAAGCAUAAGCAACAAAAAAUAUUGAGAUUUUUUUGUGAAGGUUUGUAAGCAUUUCAUGCUUCAAAAGGUGUUUGACCAGUAACUGCCUUUGUAUGCAGCAAAUUCAACAAAAAUACAGUAGUAUUAGCUGCCUCUGCCCAUAACUCCUUGGGAAGAUCUUUCUCAUGCAACAUACACCUUGAUAUCUUCUUGACGAUCGUAGUCUUCCUUACGCUAACUCCAUUUUUCUGAGGAGUUUAUGGAGUAGUGAGUUGAUGCUCUAUUCCAGCAACUUUACAAAAGUUUUGAACUGAUCUGAUGUGGACUAAGUUCCAUUAUCUGAUCUGAGCACUUGUAGUUUGCAGCCGCUUUGAUUUUUACCAAGGCUUUUAAUUUUCAAAAAGCAUCAGCUACCUCCGAUUUAAUCUUAAGAAGUAUAUCUAACAUCCUUAAUAUAUCAUCAAUAGAAAUCAUGUAGUACCUGUUUCCUUUCAAUGAUAUAGUUCUUUGCGGGCCUCCAAGAUAUAUAUGAAUUAGUUGCAAUUUUCAGUCGCUCUCCAAGUUUAUUUUGGGAAUGGCGAUCUCGUCUGCAUACCAAGUUGACAUGCCUCGCAAAUUGGGAGUUUUGUUCAAGUGAAGGUAAACCGUUUACCAACACUUUUUUUUGCAUAUACAAAAGCACCCUGUGGUGAAAGUGACCCAACCGUUUGUGCCAUGUUUCUCCAACACCAGACUUAAUUGGAUUCCAUUUGGAUAAAUGAUCAGACACACCUUAUCUUCAAAAAGUAAUUUGAACCCAUUUUCAAGUAACCGUCCAACAUUUAAUAAAUUUUUAUCAAGUUCAGAAUUAAAUAGAACUUGAGAAACAAAUUUUGUGCCUAUAUAAUCUCAAUAGCUACAGUCCACUUUCCUUUUGUAGGGAAGUAUUCUCCAUUUCCAGUCCUGACUCUUGAUGUUGUUGUUUUAUCAAGCCUUUCGAAUAGCUUUCCAUCACUAGUCAUGUGGUUUUUACAACCACUAUCAAUAAGACAACUGUCACUUGAAAUACUAGAUGCAAAACUUGAUGCAAUAAAUUUGAGCUUCUCCUUGUUCUCGUUGUUGUCGUCCUUUCUCUUUGUAGAUGAUCUCAUCAUGCCCAAGUUUUUGAUAUUUUGGCACCUCAUAUACGCCUUUCUCUAGCAUUUCAAGUGAGGAUGAUUCUUCCUUUGACAAUAUUGACAUGGGGGAAUUUUUCUCCUCAGUUGCUGACUAAAUUGUAGCUACUUCCAGUACCAACGGAAACAAGACUAUUUUCUGCAUAAUUCUUCUUCCCUUUGAUUUUCUUGUUUUUUUUCAAGGAGAGUUUUGCCGAUUGUCCUGAAGUGCACCUUCUACCGAUCCUUCCUGUCUUAUUAACCUUCUUUGCUCGAGUACCUGCAAUUCAUUUGGUAAUCCUGCCAAAGUUAACCUUGACAGAUCCUUGGUAUUUUCUAUGGAAGUAAUGGUUGGUUCAAACUUCUCUUCUAUCAGGAAACUUAUUUCCCAACAUUCUUACCUUUAUGACGAUGCUAAGAAGCCUGUCUAAGUAUUCUUUGUCAUUUUCAGAAUCUUUCUUUCUUUGUACCUCAAAUUCUCUAUUGAUAUUCAUAGCUUUCAUACUUUUGAUUCGCUCAUGUCUUUGGUAUUCUUCUUUUAAAAAAUCCCAGAUUGCUUUUGCUGAUUCCAACGGCAUGAUUCCGGGAAAAGUUGUAGGUGAUAGUGCAGCAUAUAAGCAAGAUUUCGCGUUGGAUUUUCUUGUCUUGCUUUACUUGUUAAGCUUGACCUGAGUCAUUGCUCAAUUACUUGGUAAAACAGAUAUUAUGUAAUCCUCCUCUACUAGUUCCAGAGAUUAGUUCUCUCGAUAAAACAUUGGUGGAGAAAUAGCAGAAGAACCCGAAGAGUUUUUUGAAUUCAUGUUUCUGAUGGCUUUUCAAGGAAACAGGUAGGGACUUUAUUGAUGGUCCCCUUAUACUACACUCACCAUUUCCUAAUAAGAGGGUUCUGAUAUCAAUUUUUUGGUGUGAAGAGCUAAAGAAAAAACAUACGACAGAAGAAGAAAAAGAGAGAUGUUACAUUAAGUUGAAAGAAGAAAUCUUUAAAUAGAAGGAACUCCAAACAAUAUGUAGUAAAUAAUGUUGUAACUACAAAAACAGAAUCUUCCUAAUAAGUAGGCCCUAAGUCUUCCAACAACUCUACAUACCUAAAGACUAGGAAACUCAAAGCUGAAAAACUAAAACAGGAAUGUAUAUCCAUUAAAAACCAAAAAUACAUCAGCAACCAUGUCAUCAUGUCAACUCAACAUCAAUUAACAACUCAUGAGGUAGAUUGUAAUAGAAAUAAAGUAAGUAAAAUCUUUUAUAUUUAUCUUGGUUAUACUUGUUUAAAUUUAAUAUGAUAAACAUUUAUUAAUGAUUUCUAUUAUCGUCACAAGAAUUCAUUCUUUAUCUUUAUCUUUAUUUUUGUUAGUAAAUUAUCAAUUGUUUUUUGCCAGCCAUUGUGUACUUGAAAUGAGCAUUUACUUAAGUCCAAAAACUCUCAAAUACAAACAGGCUCUCAUUUAACAAUUAUCUAAAUCGUGUUUGAUGAUACAUAUUUACUAUUAAGUUCAAAGAAGGUAACGUAUUCAUUGUCCUUUAAUUUGUGUAACAAAUUUUUCUCUCUUAAUUUUAGUAGUUAACAUGGUUUUAUGGUACUUUUUCGUUUUACUAAAAUUCAGGGUUCCAAAAAUGUGGAAGUAGUGGUGGUACAAUGACAAUAUUAAAGGGUGUGAACUUGAGCACCAAUGCAUUUCAGGGCGGUUGCAAUAGACGGCAUGUUUUAUAUGAGGGGAGAUUUUUAGAUGUUGUCUAGGGAGCUCAGAUGAUUCUCUUGGAAACAACAUCUGUUAAAAUUUAUACUAUCAAAAUUUUCAGCUGAGAAACUUGUAUUUUUUUCUGAAUAUAAAUGAGAGUAAUAUCAAAGAAUUUUGUUUGAAUUUGUAGGUUCAUUACUCGAUUCUGCAAUUUCACGUGUUUUGCUUUAUUGCAACUAAGUGAAAGAAAAUCUUACUAGAAGUUAUUUUGUUUACUUUUAGUAUUGUAGAAGUUUCAAGAAGUUAGAUUGCGAACUCUUCAAAAGUAUUCUAAACUUCACAGUUCACUAAAUCUUGAUACUUUGGUGCUUCAGAAUUGCUCAAGUUUGAAGAAGAUCUAUCCAUCAACAGGAAAAUUGGAUAGACUAUAUGGUCUAUCUUUGUAUUGUUGCAAAAACAUUAUGGGUCUUCUGAGAAGCACAUGCCAGAUAAAAUCCCUUGAAUACUUGGACCGUAGUUAUUAUUGAUCUUUACAAACACUGCUAGCUGACAUUGGAGAUAUGCAGAGUCUAAGGCAUCUUCUUGCAUGUGAUACCAGUAUAAAACAAUUGUCUGUUGAAAUGUUAAGAAAACCAUAUUUAGAAUCCUUUCGAUGAAUGUUCCACAAGAUUAUAUAUAGAGAGAUACUUGGAGUUUAUCUUACUUAAUUGCUCUAGAUUUGAGCGGCAACAAUUUUCUCUAUCUACCAUUUGGUUUUUUGAAGUUACCAUUGUUGAUUUCCUUGUGUUUGAAUGAUUUUAAGAAUCAUCAAACACUGUAGUCAAUAUUAAAUUUAGAGUACCUUGAAAUUCUUGAACUUAGAAACUGCCAAAAAUUGGUCAUUACAGUGUUGACAACCUUCCUUCAAUUUAGAAGAUCGACAUGAUUAAUUGUACCUCUCUGCAGAUUCCAUUUGAUGAAGGCUUCUUUAGUGCCCCUGCUUUAUCGAUUCCAUCUAGGAAAUAUAUGAGUAUGAGUUUAGUCCUCUCUCUCUAUCUCGCUCUUAUCACAUUAUUAAUUAUCUAGUUGUAACAUCUCACAAUUUUAGAAAUCGUUAGGAAGAAGCAUAGAACCAGAAAUAGGCAUUUUCGUAAAUAAUUAAAUGGAUAUCUACUUGAGUUAGAAAAAAUGAGUUUCUGGUCAACUUCAACCGGUCAUAACUCCUAUCUCAGGAUGAGUUAGGUUUAUUUCAAGAUAUGGUCCGUAUGAGUAAGUUAUACCCUUUGUAAGUUGGUCUGUUCGGUUAAAGAAUUGGCAAAUCUGGAUUUUAGAAGGGUAGGUUGAUCUUUUUCUAAAAAUCAUGAGGCAUUUCCUAUCACAAAUCAUAAUCCUUGAAUUCAUAAUUCAAAUCAAGGAUAACGAAGGGCCAAUUCAAAGUAAAGUCAAGAGUCAAGUCAAUAAAAGUUUAUCCAAGAUUUCAAAGUUCUUUUACAAAUGUUUCAACUUUGUUUUAACAUUAAAGUUCACGAAAAGUUAAGCAAAGAGUUCAGAUUUGAAGUUCAUUUCUUCAAAAGUAUACGGGGACUUAAUAUUCCAGAAGGAUUAAAAAUGUUCACAUUUAAAGAAGAAUGGAAACUGAGAUUUCCAAAGAGCCUUUGGUCUAGUUUUCAGAGAAGAGUAAUCGCUUUAUAAAUGAAGAAAGAGAGAAAACAUUGAUUUCCAACGUAGUCUUUGAGCUAAUUUUUUGAGAAAUAAUCUCAAAUCAUAGAAGGAAGUAUGUUUCUAAACAUAAGAGCUAAUAUUAUAUUUUUUUGGAGUAGUAUUGAGCACCGAUAUGAGGAAGAGUUCAAACAACUCACAGCCCCCAUAAACCAUCUAGCCACCAUGAAUAGAAAAGGGUCAAUACUUUUAAGAUGAUUCCUUUAGUGCUUUUUAGCAUACACGAGUGGAUAUACUUAGUAGUUAGGUUCUAUACUAAUGGCAAGGUAUAAAAAGGACCUUGAAGCAUGAGGCAAAAUGAUGUAUCAUCACAAUAGCUCUUAUCUGAUGGUUGUCGAUUAGAGAAACUUCUACAUAAUUUAAUUGUAUUUUUUAUACACACAUACAUCUCAGAGUUAUAUUGUAUCUUUGUAUACAUAUUGAAGUAAUAUCAUGUUUUAACUAAUUUUUCUUGAUAUUGCACUUUUUUUAAAUUCCUCUAUAAUGAGUUCAGUCUUGUAGAGUUGAUUUUACCCAAGUAAGUUGUUCAAAUUUCCAUUCAAGCCUAUGUUCAUAUGUUAGCAUUCAAACUCGCAUACUCGUACAUUCGAUGUACUGAUUCCAGUUUUAAUGCAUUGUAUUAUGAUGCAGAUACAGGUAGCUAGGAUCGACAUGCAAUAAGUUAUUCAGAGUUAGUUGGUGAGCCUCCUUGUAUUCCGCAGGAUCCAUUUCAAUGCUUUCAGUAUUAGUUUUACAUUCACUAGGAUGCUGUGGGGCUUGUCCCAACAUCCAUCUCAAUUACUUUUAGAGGCUUCAUAGAAAGAUAAUAUUAGUUGUUUAGUCUUUUUAAUUUCAGUUGUAGAGUUUAAGACUUGAGUUACCAUUUUGGCUAAGAUAUUAUUUUUUUAAGUUAUUCAAUGAAUUUAUCUUUGUUGAGUUUAAGUCUUCAGCUGAUUAAGUAAGUCAGACCAAGGGUUCGCUUGGGGCCAGCAAUGGUUUUCGAGUGCCUGUCCCGCCCAAGGUGUAGACUCGGAGUGUGACACUAAUUAUGUCUUUGUCUAAUGAGGUAGGGGUUAGGAAUACAUCUCUAAAGCAAUGAAAUUACAUCACUAUGCUCAUCUAACAUAAUUAUAAUUUCUUAGGAAUGGUUCUCUGGUUUGUUUGUGACUUUAAUGUUUUAUCCCAUUAUGGACUCAUCCUUGUUAUUGUAUCGAACAACAAGCCUUUAUUUUUUGAGUGGACUAGGUAUAUAUUAUAAUAUCAAAUUUUUGACGCUUCAUUGUAGGUCAGUUAAAUUUGAAUUGUGUUUUUUUUAAACAACCGACAAAUGUAUUUCACUAACAUGUAAUUGGAAUUACAAAGAUAUUUAAGAACAAAAAUAGAAAUUGAAGAACACAAGUAGAAGAAAGCGAUAAGAAGCAAAUCUCAUAGAAAGGGGAUAAGAGGACAACAUGUUUCUCAAAAAUUUGCAUAAUCUCAAAAUCACAUAUCACUAUCCUUUUUUUAUGGAACCGCUUCUUUACUAUUACAUAGCCCUGAUUCCAAAUUAACCUGAUCCUAUUGCUCGUUCUCAGCCCAAUAACUCUUGUCAUAUCAAUAACGACUUGUAUUGCAUUAGUAUCUAUAUUGAGAUGGAAUUGAUUCAUAACCAAAAUGGUGUUGAAGCUAUUGCAGCUUAGUUUGGAGUAAAACAGUGUUUUUUCAAUGGACAUACUCAGGACAUUACUCAAUGCACAACCAACAUGGUGACAAAGGAACACACUUUCUACCUGAAUCUGAAGCAAAUUGUUGACACAUUAUUAACUACAAGAGAGGGUUGGAAUCCAAAUCACUCACCGCUACAUAGAAGGAAACCAAGUAGCUGUUUUUCUUGUUGCCUUUUUCAUUCUAAGGACACAAGUGGAUACUAAUACUAGUGUGCCUACUAUACUCAAACAUAGAGGAACAACAACCUAUAGAUCAUAGAGGCAAAACGAGUUGGUACAUAAGAGAAAUUGAGGAGACACAGGAUUGUCUGAAGUAUGUCAAUGCGGCUACAAGUGUGUUCCUUCCGAUCCUAUCCUUCCAUCACCACCUAUAACUAGAGGUUGUCAUUUGAGGUGUAGCCAAGAAGAAAGUAAGCAAACAAGUACAGAUUGGUACUCAGGACAAAAACUAACCUAGAUCUCAAGUAAAUAUAUUGUUUGAUGUUUAAUUUUUGAGCCUUUUCAUGGUUUAGCCCUAAGACCAACAACUUGGCUAGCGGCUGAGCUAUCCGUGUUCACAACAUAUAAUUCCAUCCACAUAUGGAUACAAUAUAUAUAUAUUAAUCCCACACUUUAAAAUCAGGAAGGCAUGACAUUGUAACCUGACAAAGAACAAAAACAAUUAUUAGAGAAAAUCAAACAAAUAAGAAGUCUCAAAUAAGUGUAUUAAUAAAAAUAUGAUUGCAGCGAAACAUAUCUCAUAGUCUUGAGAUUUUAAAAGUCACUAAAGAGGGAACACAUCAUCCUUCAAAACCAUCAAUUGUCUUAGUUUUGAAAUCUUCAAAACAAACAAACAAAAUGAAAUUAAAUAAUCACAAAUCAGAGCAACCCAAUGCUUCUUUGAUUCUUAAAAUUGUGGCGCUCAAAACACCAUUAACAGAACCCACUACCUCCAUUUUUUGCUGCCUAGAGGUUGGAUUAUUAUUACCACAAAUCAUUAUUUGAAAUGUCACUGUCAAAAUUGAACCAUUUUGUGCAUUUGCAGUGCUGUCCCUAUUCGAGGAGAGACGACCAUCAGGACUUAUAAUGAUACCAGAGGGCAAAAUGGGAACUUUCGU
RNAcentral lists this long non-coding RNA (42591 nucleotides) under Solanum lycopersicum (tomato). RNAcentral describes it as "long non-coding RNA (SLYC_LNC000676)". The record is from RNAcentral. Lineage: Eukaryota; Viridiplantae; Streptophyta; Magnoliopsida; Solanales; Solanaceae.